CUCAGAAAAAUGGUGUCGACAGGAAGUUAAAGAAAGAGAUUUAUUAAAACCAGAAGAAAGAUAAUUAUCUGCCGCAGAAAAAUUUCGAACCCAAGGCUGAAUCUGAGAGUGAAAAGAUGCUGAUUUUUGCUUAUGAUUGUUACAAGGAAGGAACCAUGCAUUUGUUAUAGGAAACGAUGAAGAGGGCAUUAAACGACGAGCGAUUUGACAAGUUUGUGAUGAUAUCAAUCUGGUGAAUUCAGGAGGAUUCAACAUUGAGGCCUACCAUGAAGAGAGUGCUACAACUUAUGGAAGGAUCUAUUGAAGUCCCCUUUCCUCCAAAUCCAGCCCCUCUACCACUUUAAUUUAGAUGCAAUUUUCUUUUUCACACGGUUAGAUAUUUCAUGUAACGUUUAAUAAUCCGUCUGGUCUUCAUAUUUAGCAUCGAGUAUCCAUGUCACUCAUUUUUAAUCAUGUCUAGUUUUAAUCAAGUCUGAACACCAAUAAUUUUCUUUUACCUUCUAUUUUGAACCUAUUUUCACAAGUUAAAUGCAUCCUUAAUCUUAG
This 546-nucleotide long non-coding RNA is filed under the name Olea europaea subsp. europaea. The record is from RNAcentral. Lineage: Eukaryota; Viridiplantae; Streptophyta; Magnoliopsida; Lamiales; Oleaceae.